UGGGGAAUAUUGGACAAUGGGCGCAAGCCUGAUCCAGCCAUGCCGCGUGGGUGAAGAAGGCCUUAGGGUUGUAAACCCCUUUCAGCGGGGAAGAUAAUGACGGUACCCGCAGAAGAAGUCCCGGCUAACUCCGUGCCAGCAGCCGCGGUAAUACGGAGGGGACUAGCGUUGUUCGGAAUUACUGGGCGUAAAGCGCACGUAGGCGGAUUUGUAAGUCAGGGGUGAAAUCCCGAGGCUCAACCUCGGAACUGCCUUUGAUACUGCAAAUCUCGAGUCCGGAAGAGGUGAGUGGAAUUCCUAGUGUAGAGGUGAAAUUCGUAGAUAUUAGGAAGAACACCAGUGGCGAAGGCGGCUCACUGGUCCGGUACUGACGCUGAGGUGCGAAAGCGUGGGGAGCAAACAGG
RNAcentral lists this ribosomal RNA (404 nucleotides) under bacterium. Its description in RNAcentral is "partial 16S ribosomal RNA". It matches the Rfam family "Bacterial small subunit ribosomal RNA", at positions 355 to 776 of the family's 1533-position model. The record is from RNAcentral. RNAcentral also lists the same sequence under 1 other name.